This 219-nucleotide long non-coding RNA is filed under the name Lathyrus oleraceus (garden pea). RNAcentral's name for it is "Pisum sativum (pea) long non-coding RNA (PSAT_LNC018584)". Lineage: Eukaryota; Viridiplantae; Streptophyta; Magnoliopsida; Fabales; Fabaceae. The record is from RNAcentral.
CCAUAAAAAAUGUGAGAAAACAAAAUAUAGUCGAUGGUUCGAAAGAAGCACUCACCGAAGGAAGAACACUCAGUUGAAAAAAAAAAGAGAAUAUCAAAGAAAAACUGAGCAAUUGAAAAGGAAAAGAAUAAAACACAGUGAAAAGAAUAUGAACAUUGGCUCUGAACCCAAAACCACUUGUUUUCCUUUUUGUUUGUAUUUACCACACCAUAACCCAAG